RNAcentral lists this ribosomal RNA (317 nucleotides) under uncultured eukaryote. RNAcentral's name for it is "eukaryotic LSU rRNA". The stretch from base 1 to 117 matches the Rfam family "5.8S ribosomal RNA", at positions 40 to 154 of the family's 154-position model. The record is from RNAcentral.
AGAACGCCGCGAAACGCGAUAUGUAAUGUGAAUUGCAGGAUUAAGUGAAUCAUCAAAUCUUUGAACGCAAAUGGCUGCUCAGACUCUUUCAGUUUGAGCAUACCUGGUUCAGACCCAUUUCUCAAAAUCAUCUAUGCAUCAUAGAGGAGACUGGGUGUUGCAUCUAACCGUGCAUCACUUUAAGAGUUAAAACUCGUGGUUGCGAUUGAGACUUCAUGACUCUGAUCAAACCCGCUGAGGUAGUCUUGUAUUAUCAACGCGAUUUGAUCCCAUAAGACUCUCGCACCUUAACACCUAGUGUUAUUUUAGCUCCGAGC